This 74-nucleotide transfer RNA is filed under the name Streptomyces mutabilis. Lineage: Bacteria; Bacillati; Actinomycetota; Actinomycetes; Kitasatosporales; Streptomycetaceae. The record is from RNAcentral.
CGCUGCUCGACGCGCUCAGGCAGAACGGGCUGCGGGCCACGAUGUUCAACCAGGGCCAGUACGCGGCCCAGAAC